This 506-nucleotide ribosomal RNA is filed under the name uncultured bacterium. Its description in RNAcentral is "bacterial SSU rRNA". It matches the Rfam family "Bacterial small subunit ribosomal RNA", at positions 29 to 529 of the family's 1533-position model. The record is from RNAcentral.
AUUGAACGCUGGCGGCAUGCUUUACACAUGCAAGUCGAACGGCAGCGGGUCCUUCGGGAUGCCGGCGAGUGGCGAACGGGUGAGUAAUGCAUCGGAACGUACCGUGUAAUGGGGGAUAACGUAGCGAAAGUUACGCUAAUACCGCAUACGCCCUGAGGGGGAAAGCGGGGGAUCGCAAGACCUCGCGUUAUACGAGCGGCCGAUGUCGGAUUAGCUAGUUGGUGGGGUAAAGGCCCACCAAGGCGACGAUCCGUAGCGGGUCUGAGAGGAUGAUCCGCCACACUGGGACUGAGACACGGCCCAGGCUCCUACGGGAGGCAGCAGUGGGGAAUUUUGGACAAUGGGGGCAACCCUGAUCCAGCAAUGCCGCGUGUGUGAAGAAGGCCUGCGGGUUGUAAAGCACUUUCAGUGGGGAAGAACAGAUUCGGGUCAAUACCCCGGAGCCCUGACGUUACCCACAGAAGAAGCACCGGCUAACUCCGUGCCAGCAGCCGCGGUAAUGUGUG